Molecule: unclassified non-coding RNA, 336 nt
Filed under: soil metagenome
Description: partial contains 5.8S ribosomal RNA, internal transcribed spacer 2, and large subunit ribosomal RNA
Rfam family: 5.8S ribosomal RNA (bases 1-120)
Source: RNAcentral
GAUGAAGAACGUAGCGAAAUGCGAUAAGUAGUGUGAAUUGCAGAAUUCAGUGAAUCAUCGAAUCUUUGAACGCACAUUGCGCCCCUUGGUAUUCCAUGGGGCAUGCCUGUUCGAGCGUCAUUUGUACCUUCAAGCUUUGCUUGGUGUUGGGUGUUUGUCUCGCCUUUGCGUGUAGACUCGCCUUAAAAUAAUUGGCAGCCGGCGUAUUGAUUUCGGAGCGCAGUACAUCUCGCGCUUUGCACUCAUAACGACAGCGUCAAAAGGUACAUUUUACACUCUUGACCUCGGAUCAGGUAGGGAUACCCGCUGAACUCAAGCAUAUCAAUAAGCGGAGGA